Molecule: ribosomal RNA, 463 nt
Filed under: uncultured bacterium
Lineage: Bacteria
Description: partial 16S ribosomal RNA
Rfam family: Bacterial small subunit ribosomal RNA
Source: RNAcentral
GAUGAACGCUGACAGAAUGCUUAACACAUGCAAGUCGAAGGGGAAGUGGUGCUUGCACUAUGGCAACCAUGGCGGACGGGUGAGUAACGCGUAAGGGACUUACCUGCAGGACUGGGAUAACAGGGGGAAACUCCUGACAAGACCGGAUAAUGUCAUGGAGCUGCAUGGCUUUAUGAUGAAAGGAGACGCCUGCGGAGAGCCUUGCGUCCUAUUAGCUAGUUGGUGAGGUAAUGGCUCACCAAGGCGAAGAUAGGUAGCCGGCCUGAGAGGGUGGACGGCCACAAGGGGACUGAGAUACGGCGGUUACUCCUACGGGAGGCAGCAGUGGGGAAUAUUGGACAAGGGGGGCAGCCCUGAUCCAGCAAUUCUGUGUGCACGAAGAAGGUUUUCGGAUUGUAGAGUGCUUUCAGCAGGGAAGAAGUAAGUGACGGUACCUGCAGAAGAAGCGACGGCUAAAUACGUG